Molecule: ribosomal RNA, 1429 nt
Filed under: uncultured organism
Description: partial small subunit ribosomal RNA
Rfam family: Bacterial small subunit ribosomal RNA
Source: RNAcentral
UGACGAACGCUGGCGGCGUGCUUAACACAUGCAAGUCGAACGGAAAGGCCCUGCUUUUGUGGGGUGCUCGAGUGGCGAACGGGUGAGUAACACGUGAGUAACCUGCCCUUGACUUUGGGAUAACUUCAGGAAACUGGGGCUAAUACCGGAUAGGAGCUCCUGCUGCAUGGUGGGGGUUGGAAAGUUUCGGCGGUUGGGGAUGGACUCGCGGCUUAUCAGCUUGUUGGUGGGGUAGUGGCUUACCAAGGCUUUGACGGGUAGCCGGCCUGAGAGGGUGACCGGCCACAUUGGGACUGAGAUACGGCCCAGACUCCUACGGGAGGCAGCAGUGGGGAAUAUUGCACAAUGGGCGGAAGCCUGAUGCAGCAACGCCGCGUGCGGGAUGACGGCCUUCGGGUUGUAAACCGCUUUCGCCUGUGACGAAGCGUGAGUGACGGUAAUGGGUAAAGAAGCACCGGCUAACUACGUGCCAGCAGCCGCGGUGAUACGUAGGGUGCGAGCGUUGUCCGGAUUUAUUGGGCGUAAAGGGCUCGUAGGUGGUUGAUCGCGUCGGAAGUGUAAUCUUGGGGCUUAACCCUGAGCGUGCUUUCGAUACGGGUUGACUUGAGGAAGGUGGGGGAGAAUGGAAUUCCUGGUGGAGCGGUGGAAUGCGCAGAUAUCAGGAGGAACACCAGUGGCGAAGGCGGUUCUCUGGGCCUUUCCUGACGCUGAGGAGCGAAAGCGUGGGGAGCGAACAGGCUUAGAUACCCUGGUAGUCCACGCUGUAAACGGUGGGUACUAGGUGUGGGGUCCAUUCCACGGGUUCCGUGCCGUAGCUAACGCUUUAAGUACCCCGCCUGGGGAGUACGGCCGCAAGGCUAAAACUCAAAGGAAUUGACGGGGCCCCGCACAAGUGGCGGAGCAUGCGGAUUAAUUCGAUGCAACGCGUAGAACCUUACCUGGGUUUGACAUGGAUCGGGAGUGCUCAGAGAUGGGUGUGCCUCUUUUGGGGUCGGUUCACAGGUGGUGCAUGGCUGUCGUCAGCUCGUGUCGUGAGAUGUUGGGUUAAGUCCCGCAACGAGCGCAACCCUUGUUCACUGUUGCCAGCACGUUAUGGUGGGGACUCAGUGGAGACCGCCGGGGUCAACUCGGAGGAAGGUGGGGAUGACGUCAAGUCAUCAUGCCCCUUAUGUCCAGGGCUUCACGCAUGCUACAAUGGCUGGUACAGAGAGUGGCGAGCCUGUGAGGGUGAGCGAAUCUCGGAAAGCCGGUCUCAGUUCGGAUUGGGGUCUGCAACUCGACCUCAUGAAGUCGGAGUCGCUAGUAAUCGCAGAUCAGCAACGCUGCGGUGAAUACGUUCCCGGGGCUUGUACACACCGCCCGUCAAGUCAUGAAAGUUGGUAACACCCGAAGCCGGUGGCCUAACCGUUGUGGGGGAGCCGUCGAAGGU